AUGCAAACAAUGGGGGAGGGGCCAAGGUCAGGUCUUCAUUGGCUUCACUUUUGCCCGAUUUGGCCCUUUUUUCACCCAAUUUGGGGCCGACUUUCUCCGUUUUCACCACUUCCCGGUUCUUAUCCCUUUUAUUUACCCCAUUUCACCCUUUUUUGCCCCAAAUCUGCCCCAUUUUUCCCCAUUUCCCCCAUUUCUUUACCCAAAUUUGUCCUUUUUUACCCAAAUUUGGCCUUUUUUCCCCCAUUUCUCCCCCUUUUUUACCCAAAUUUGCCCUUUUUUACCCCAUUUUUUGUCCAAAUUUGCCCUUUUUUACCUCAUUUCUCCCCCUUUUUUACCCAAAUUUGUCCUUUUUUACCCAAAUUUGCCCAUUUCUCCCCAUUUCCCCCCUUUUUACCCAAUAUUGCCCCUUUUUGCCCCAAAUCAGCCCCCAUUUCUCCCCAUUUCCCCCAUUUCUUUACCCAAAUUUGCCCUUUUUUACCCCAUUUUUCACCCUUUUUUUCCCAAAUUUGCCAUUUUUUGCCCCAAUUCAGCCCCAUUUCUCCCUUUUUUACCCCAAAUUUUCCCAUUUUUACCCCAUUUCCCCCCCUUUCUUUAUCGAAAUUUGUCCUUUUUUACCCAAAUUUGUCCCUUUUAACCCCAUUUUCCCCCUUUUUUACCCAAUAUUGCCCUUUUUUGCCCAAAUUUGCCCCUUUUUUGCCCCAUUUCCCCCCUUUUUUACCCAAAUUUGCCCCUUUUAACCCCAUUUUAACCCCAUUUUUACCCAAAUUUGCCCUUUUUGCCCAAUUUUGCCCCAAUUUACCCCAUUUUCUCCCCUUUUUUACCCAAAUUUGCCCUUUUUUACCCCAUUUCUCCCAUUUUUUACCCAAAUUUGCCCUUUUUUACCCCAUUUUUUGUCCAAAUUUGCCCUUUUUUACCCCAUUUUCCCCCUUUUUGUCCAAAUUUGCCCUUUUUUGCCCCAAUUCUGCCCCAUUUCCCCCCAUUUUGACCCAAUUUGACCCUUUUUCACCCCAAUCCGUGUGGGCUGGGGGGAGGAGGAACUGGUUUGAACUGGUUUGA
Molecule: long non-coding RNA, 1056 nt
Filed under: Coturnix japonica (Japanese quail)
Lineage: Eukaryota; Metazoa; Chordata; Aves; Galliformes; Phasianidae
Description: lncRNA (ENSCJPG00005001584.1)
Source: RNAcentral